UUACCCACUCCCGGCACGGGGAGGUAGUGACNAAAAAUAACGAUACGGGACUCAUCCGAGGCCCCGUAAUCGGAAUGANUACACUCUAAACCCUUUAACGAGGAUCAAUUGGAGGGCAAGUCUGGUGCCAGCAGCCGCGGUAAUUCCAGCUCCAAUAGCGUAUAUUAAAGUUGUUGCGGUUAAAAAGCUCGUAGUCGAAUUUGUGUCUCGCGCCGCCGGUUCAUCGUCCGCGGUGUUAACUGGCGAGUCGCGAGACCUCCUGCCGGUGGGCUUAGCCCGCGAGGGCGGCCCAACUCAAUCCUGGCGCGGUGCUCUUCAUUGAGUGUCGAGGUGGGCCGGCACGUUUACUUUGAACAAAUUAGAGUGCUUAAAGCAGGCUAAAACUUCGCCUGAAU
RNAcentral lists this ribosomal RNA (395 nucleotides) under Eusomus ovulum. RNAcentral's name for it is "SSU rRNA". It matches the Rfam family "Eukaryotic small subunit ribosomal RNA", at positions 441 to 800 of the family's 1831-position model. The record is from RNAcentral. Lineage: Eukaryota; Metazoa; Arthropoda; Insecta; Coleoptera; Curculionidae.